UACUGGGCGUAAGCGCACGCAGGCGGUCUGUCAAGUCGGAUGUGAAAUCCCCGGGCUCUACCUGGGAACUGCAUUCGAAACUGGCAGGCUAGAGUCUUGUAGAGGGGGGUAGAAUUCCAGGUGUAGCGGUGAAAUGCGUAGAGAUCUGGAGGAAUACCGGUGGCGAAGGCGGCCCCCUGGACAAAGACUGACGCUCAGGUGCGAAAGCGUGGGGAGCAAACAGGAUUAGAUACCCUGGUAGUCCACGCCGUAAACGAUGUCGACUUGGAGGUUGUGCCCUUGAGGCGUGGCUUCCGGAGCUAACGCGUUAAGUCGACCGCCUGGGGAGUACGGCCGCAAGGUUAAAACUCAAAUGAAUUGACGGGGGCCCGCACAAGCGGUGGAGCAUGUGGUUUAAUUCGAUGCAACGCCAAGAACCUUACCUACUCUUGACAUCCAGAGAACUUGGCGGAGAUGCUUUGCUGCCUUCGGGAACUCUGA
This 480-nucleotide ribosomal RNA is filed under the name Klebsiella aerogenes. RNAcentral describes it as "bacterial SSU rRNA". It matches the Rfam family "Bacterial small subunit ribosomal RNA", at positions 552 to 1032 of the family's 1533-position model. Lineage: Bacteria; Pseudomonadati; Pseudomonadota; Gammaproteobacteria; Enterobacterales; Enterobacteriaceae. The record is from RNAcentral.